GGAACUGUGGCAUCGUGGUUUGAGCAUUGGACUAUGACUCUGGAAGCCAGGAUUCGAAUCCCAGCAUGGCCA
Phrynosoma platyrhinos (Desert horned lizard) is the source of this 72-nucleotide non-coding RNA. The record is from the annotation of a GenBank genome assembly. Lineage: Eukaryota; Metazoa; Chordata; Lepidosauria; Squamata; Phrynosomatidae.